AAUCAACGCUGGCGGCGUGCCUAAUACAUGCAAGUCGAACGCGAAAGUCCCGCAAGGGGCAAGUAGAGUGGCAAACGGGUGAGUAACGCGUGGGCGACCUACCUUCGAGUGGGGGAUAACCUUCCGAAAGGAGGGCUAAUACCGCAUGACAUCCCGUGUUUGGAUACACGGACAUCAAAGUCGGGGAUCGCAAGACCUGACGCUUGGAGAGGGGCCUGCGUCCGAUUAGCUAGUUGGUGGGGUAACGGCCCACCAAGGCUUCGAUCGGUAUCCGGCCUGAGAGGGCGGACGGACACACUGGGACUGAGACACGGCCCAGACUCCUACGGGAGGCAGCAGUAGGGAAUUGUUCGCAAUGGGCGCAAGCCUGACGACGCAACGCCGCGUGGAGGAUGAAGACCUUCGGGUCGUAAACUCCUUUCGACCGAGAUGAACACUCACCGACCUAAUACGUCGGUGAGCUGACAGUAUCGAGGGAAGAAGCCCCGGCUAACUCCGUGC
This 501-nucleotide ribosomal RNA is filed under the name uncultured bacterium. RNAcentral describes it as "bacterial SSU rRNA". It matches the Rfam family "Bacterial small subunit ribosomal RNA", at positions 32 to 508 of the family's 1533-position model. The record is from RNAcentral.